CAGUCGCCGCGGGAAUACGGAGGGUGCAAGCGUUAAUCGGAAUUACUGGGCGUAAAGCGCACGCAGGCGGUCUGUCAAGUCGGAUGUGAAAUCCCCGGGCUCAACCUGGGAACUGCAUUCGAAACUGGCAGGCUAGAGUCUUGUAGAGGGGGGUAGAAUUCCAGGUGUAGCGGUGAAAUGCGUAGAGAUCUGGAGGAAUACCGGUGGCGAAGGCGGCCCCCUGGACAAAGACUGACGCUCAGGUGCGAAAGCGUGGGGAGCAAACAGGAUUAGAUACCCCUGUAGUCCCUGUCUCUUAUAC
Molecule: ribosomal RNA, 301 nt
Filed under: uncultured bacterium
Lineage: Bacteria
Description: partial 16S ribosomal RNA
Rfam family: Bacterial small subunit ribosomal RNA
Source: RNAcentral